AAUGGAGCAGUGAGAGGCAUCAGAGAGCCGGAGAGCCGGAUCACGGCGAGUGGUGAGCUCCUGUCAGCGCUGAUGAUCUGAUCUGCUAAUUCAGUCAAGUGCAGGAAGGAGGGAGAGUGCCCUUAUCUGUUACACCAAAGCCAGGCAGAGGGCGGAGUAGCCAGGCCUAGAGAGACAGGAGGAGUCGGGGGAGUGACCAGAGUGCAAUAAAACUGUUAUACUCACCUUGGGCUAGUUGUUCUGGAAGUAGACUUGAUGGACCUGAGGGAGAGAAAACAGAGGAGUCAGUAUAAGCACGACAUCAUCAUGCACAGCCGAACACCAUUCUGGGUCCGGGCGUGGCUGCGGUGCAAAGAAGAACAAGGAGCCGCAGCAACAGCCCCAGCAUGGCAUUGGGCGACGGCGCGUGGUGUACUACACGCUGCCCUCCGCCCGCCAACAAGCAACCAGCCUGCCUGUCUGAGCCCCUGUCCCUGGAUCCCGGCCCCAGCAGCAGAAAGGCACACAGCCAGCUACAGCAUCAAGACUGCAGGGAGAGUGCUGCCCCCUCUGGCCAGGUUAUAGUGUUCAGCAUUCUUUGAGUGGCCGCGGGGGAGAGAAGUCCUAGGAGCAGCAGCACGGCAUUGGGCGUUGGUGUAUGGUACUACACGCAGUCGCGCACAAGCCCCCGGUCUGCAGCCUGCCUGACUGAGCCCCUGGUGAAGAGACCCAUUACCCACGCAGUCCUGGAUCCCAGCCCAAGCAGCACCACAGCACAGGGCCAGCUGUAGCAUCAGCAUCAUACUGGUAGUGUCCUACAUGUAUGCAUCAAUGAUAUGGGAUCAAG
This is a long non-coding RNA of Pseudophryne corroboree (corroboree frog), 826 nucleotides long. RefSeq lists it as uncharacterized. Lineage: Eukaryota; Metazoa; Chordata; Amphibia; Anura; Myobatrachidae. The record is from RefSeq and is a predicted model, not a curated record. The transcript has 4 exons.